CAUUUUGUCAAGAUAUGAAGCUCCUGUGCAGAUCUUAGAUCUUAGAACAGGAGAUUCUGUUUUAGCAAAGUGGUCAGAUGGAGUCAUUUUUAAAUAUGUUGGAAGCCAAUGAGCCAUCACACUCAACAUCAGGGUCUGACACCAUUACAGUAGAUCGGAACCCACUGUCUGAACAUGAUAGUAUCACAGCGCUGAAUCUAUCAAGUGACGGGGCACUUGUAACAGGCAGCAACACUGUUGGACCACCACCACCCUAUGGGUUUACCAAAGAGGGAACCAUCGGUCCAUCACCCUACAGCGGCAAUACAGCCAUACCAUCACCGUAUGGCCUCCACGUCAAUUGUCAAUUUCUCUAUGGGGGCCAUACAUCUAGCCUACCACCGUAUGGCCUCAACAUCAAAGGUCCAUCUCCCUACGAAGA
This is a long non-coding RNA of Entelurus aequoreus (snake pipefish), 421 nucleotides long. RefSeq lists it as uncharacterized. The record is from RefSeq and is a predicted model, not a curated record. The transcript has 3 exons. Lineage: Eukaryota; Metazoa; Chordata; Actinopteri; Syngnathiformes; Syngnathidae.